AAAAGAACUUCCCAUCCCGAGCUACAUCUUUUAAGAAUGCUCAGGGUCCCUGAUAUUCUGCCACCCUAAGGAUUAAGGCUGCGGAAGCCUAUUCUAGCAGGAGAGAUGAUCCUCGUUUGUACUGAUCUCAGGAGGACUGAUUUCAAGAUCUUAUAAGUGGACCUGAAGAGAUGUGAGCAAAUUCCUGGUGAAGGAGCAAUUUCCAGUAAAUGUUCUUGAUCUUCAAAAGCAGCAUAUACUAAAGAGACUCAAAACAAAAGACAUGACAAACUGCUUUGUUUGCAUCGAAUAUUUUAAAAUGCAUUUUAUUAUGUAUAAAGACAAUAUCAAGAUUUGUCUCCAGGUUCUAUUUUUGAUCAUGUAGGGUUUUAAACCACUGCCCUAUGCAAUGCUCAUUUCUCUUCCUCUGUUUCCAUCCAACCCCUCACAUUUGUUGCCCCUACCCUUGUCAUAGACUCACAUCCUAUAUGUGUCUCGUGUCAAACAGACUUCGUGGAAAGAAUACUUUGUUCUAGUUACACAAAACAAUGGUUUAAAUGACAGGGGUAAUUAACAUGUAUGGGUGACCAGAGAGUAGCAGCUGUCCUCAUCUGACACUCACAAUCAGAUGCUUCUCUCGCUCACACUGUGUCUCUCUCCUUCCUGUCCUAAGCUGGGG
RNAcentral lists this long non-coding RNA (658 nucleotides) under Homo sapiens (human). Its description in RNAcentral is "HSALNT0351003". Lineage: Eukaryota; Metazoa; Chordata; Mammalia; Primates; Hominidae. The record is from RNAcentral.